CCGUAACUAUAACGGUCCUAAGGUAGCGAAAUUCCUUGUCGGGUAAGUUCCGACCUGCACGAAUGGCGUAAUGAUGGCCAGGCUGUCUCCACCCGAGACUCAGUGAAAUUGAACUCGCUGUGAAGAUGCAGUGUACCCGCGGCAAGACGGAAAGACCCCGUGAACCUUUACUAUAGCUUGACACUGAACAUUGAGCCUUGAUGUGUAGGAUAGGUGGGAGGCUUUGAAGCGUGGACGCCAGUCUGCGUGGAGCCAACCUUGAAAUACCACCCUUUAAUGUUUGAUGUUCUAACGUUGGCCCCUUAUCGGGGUUGCGGACAGUGUCUGGUGGGUAGUUUGACUGGGGCGGUCUCCUCCCAAAGCGUAACGGAGGAGCACGAAGGUUAGCUAAUCCUGGUCGGACAUCAGGAGGUUAGUGCAAUGGCAUAAGCUAGCUUGACUGCGAGCGUGACGGCGCGAGCAGGUGCGAAAGCAGGUCAUAGUGAUCCGGUGGUUCUGAAUGGAAGGGCCAUCGCUCAACGGAUAAAAGGUACUCCGGGGAUAACAGGCUGAUACCGCCCAAGAGUUCAUAUCGACGGCGGUGUUUGGCACCUCGAUGUCGGCUCAUCACAUCCUGGGGCUGAAGUAGGUCCCAAGGGUAUGGCUGUUCGCCAUUUAAAGUGGUACGCGAGCUGGGUUUAGAACGUCGUGAGACAGUUCGGUCCCUAUCUGCCGUGGGCGCUGGAGAAUUGAGGGGGGCUGCUCCUAGUACGAGAGGACCGGAGUGGACGCAUCACUGGUGUUCGGGUUGUCAUGCCAAUGGCACUGCCCGGUAGCUAAAUGCGGAAGAGAUAAGUGCUGAAAGCAUCUAAGCACGAAACUUGCCCCGAGAUGAGUUCUCCCUGAGACUUUAAGUCUCCUGAAGGAACGUUGAAGACGACGACGUUGAUAGGUCGGGUGUGUAAGCGCAGCGAUGCGUUGAGCUAACCGAUACUAAUGAACCGUGAGGCUUAACCUU
Molecule: ribosomal RNA, 997 nt
Filed under: human gut metagenome
Description: bacterial LSU rRNA
Rfam family: Bacterial large subunit ribosomal RNA
Source: RNAcentral